This 459-nucleotide ribosomal RNA is filed under the name uncultured bacterium. RNAcentral describes it as "bacterial SSU rRNA". It matches the Rfam family "Bacterial small subunit ribosomal RNA", at positions 30 to 482 of the family's 1533-position model. The record is from RNAcentral.
AUUGAACGCUGGCGGCAUGCCUUACACAUGCAAGUCGAACGGCAGCACGGGAGCAAUCCUGGUGGCGAGUGGCGAACGGGUGAGUAAUAUAUCGGAACGUGCCCAGUCGUGGGGAUAACGUAGCGAAAGCUACGCUAAUACCGCAUACGAUCUACGGAUGAAAGCGGGGGAUCGCAAGACCUCGCGCGAUUGGAGCGGCCGAUAUCAGAUUAGGUAGUUGGUGAGGUAAAGGCUCACCAAGCCGACGAUCUGUAGCUGGUCUGAGAGGACGACCGGCCACACUGGGACUGAGACACGGCCCAGACUCCUACGGGAGGCAGCAGUGGGGAAUUUUGGGACAAUGGGCGCAAGCCUGAUCCAGCAAUGCCGCGUGCAGGAUGAAGGCCUUCGGGUUGUAACUAGCUUUGUACGGUAACGAAACGGUAGAGCUCUAAUACAGUUUGCUAAUGACGGUACCGU